GUGCUUGCUUCAGCAGCACAUAUACUAAAAUUGGAACGAUAUAGAGAAGAUUAGCAUGACCCCUGCACAAGGAUGACAUGCAAAUUCAUGAAGCGUUCCAUAUUUUU
Molecule: small nuclear RNA, 107 nt
Filed under: Cebus imitator (Panamanian white-faced capuchin)
Lineage: Eukaryota; Metazoa; Chordata; Mammalia; Primates; Cebidae
Source: RNAcentral